Molecule: ribosomal RNA, 253 nt
Filed under: uncultured bacterium
Lineage: Bacteria
Description: partial 16S ribosomal RNA
Rfam family: Bacterial small subunit ribosomal RNA
Source: RNAcentral
UACGUAGGUGGCAAGCGUUGUCCGGAUUUACUGGGCGUAAAGAGCGCGCAGGCGGUCGGAUAAGUCGAAUGUGAAAGCCCCCGGCUCAACUGGGGAGGGUCAUUCGAUACUGUUCGACUCGAAGGCAGGAGAGGGAAGUGGAAUUCCCGGUGUAGUGGUGAAAUGCGUAGAUAUCGGGAGGAACACCAGUGGCGAAGGCGACUUCCUGGCCUGUUCUUGACGCCGAGGCGCGAAAGCUAGGGGAGCAAACGGG